CUCUGGCAACGACGUCCAUCCUCACAUGCAUUUUCAGUUGCGUCUUGAGAUACAUACUAUCUUGAGUUUGGUAUCGGUUUCUUGUGUUGCGUACCUAAUGAUGGCAAUCGGUAGUCUAAAUAUCAAAUUUUGCCUUUCAUUAUUCCUUUUGGGUGAUGUAGGGUGAACCACAAAGCAAUCUCUGUGUCCCACUCCACUCACUAAAUUGUGCUUGUGGAUUGGUCCAUAGGGUAUUUGCUUGAUCUCUUGGAUGCGGUGCAUUGUAUAUGGGCAUGAGGUCUCGCGUCCUCUUUUUGCCCAAACAAAAGCUUUCGAUGCUUAGUUGCGAACGAUUGCCAUCCUCGUUUCGAGCCUUUUGGCUAGUGCGGUGAUGGCUUCGUU
Molecule: unclassified non-coding RNA, 381 nt
Filed under: Cryptantha maritima
Lineage: Eukaryota; Viridiplantae; Streptophyta; Magnoliopsida; Boraginales; Boraginaceae
Description: partial external transcribed spacer
Source: RNAcentral